UGGGGGAUCGUCUAAUUGGCAGGACGGUGGACUCUGGAUCCACUAGUGGAGGUUCGAAUCCUCCUCCCCCAG
Molecule: transfer RNA, 72 nt
Filed under: Thermodesulfobacteriota bacterium
Lineage: Bacteria; Pseudomonadati; Thermodesulfobacteriota
Also listed under: 1 other name
Description: Thermodesulfobacteria bacterium tRNA-Gln
Rfam family: tRNA
About the family: Transfer RNA (tRNA) molecules are approximately 80 nucleotides in length. Their secondary structure includes four short double-helical elements and three loops (D, anti-codon, and T loops).
Source: RNAcentral